This 167-nucleotide ribosomal RNA is filed under the name uncultured Alphaproteobacteria bacterium. RNAcentral's name for it is "partial 16S ribosomal RNA". It matches the Rfam family "Bacterial small subunit ribosomal RNA", at positions 341 to 525 of the family's 1533-position model. Lineage: Bacteria; Pseudomonadati; Pseudomonadota; Alphaproteobacteria. The record is from RNAcentral.
ACGGGAGGCAGCAGUGGGGAAUAUUGGACAAUGGGCGCAAGCCUGAUCCAGCCAUGCCGCGUGAGUGAUGAAGGCCUUAGGGUUGUAAAGCUCUUUCACCGGAGAAGAUAAUGACGGUAUCCGGAGAAGAAGCCCCGGCUAACUUCGUGCCAGCAGCCGCGGUAAUA